This 465-nucleotide ribosomal RNA is filed under the name uncultured bacterium. RNAcentral describes it as "partial 16S ribosomal RNA". It matches the Rfam family "Bacterial small subunit ribosomal RNA", at positions 338 to 795 of the family's 1533-position model. The record is from RNAcentral.
CCUACGGGAGGCAGCAGUAGGGAAUCUUCCACAAUGGGCGCAAGCCUGAUGGAGCAACGCCGCGUGGGUGAAGAAGGUCUUCGGAUCGUAAAACUCUGUUGUUAGAGAAGAAAGUGCGUGAGAGUAACUGUUCACGUUUCGACGGUAUCUAACCCGAAAGCCACGGCUAACUACGUGCCAGCAGCCGCGGUAAUACGUAGGUGGCAAGCUUUAUCCGGAUGUAUUGGGCGUAAAGGGAACGCAGGCGGUCUUUUACGUCUGAUGUGAAAGCCUUCGGCUUAACCGGAGUAGUGCAUUGGAGACUGGGAGACUUGAGGGCAGAAGAGGAGAGUGGAACUCCAUGUGUAGCGGUGAAAUGCGUAGAUAUAAGGAAGAACACCAGUGGCGAAAGCGGCUCUCUGGUCUGUAACUGACGCUGAGGUUCGAAAGCGUGGGUAGCAAACAGGAUUAGAUACCCUAGUAGUC